CUAUUAGGUGAAACUCCCUUAUACUCUAGCAUCAUAUUCAUGCAUGCAAAUUAAGUAUGCACUCUUAAUAAACAUACACGAAUAAGUUAUGAAUCAAGCAGUUAAACAAAUUGAAUUCACAACUGAAGGUAAUCAAAUCAUAUUGCAAGCAUGAACAUGGUUUCAAAUUCCCCCCCUAGCUAAGGGGGGUUUAGUUCCUCAUACUCACAAAGCAAAGAUAAACAAAUUUAGACAUUGAAAACAAAAGAAUGAAAACACCUAAAAACGAUCCAACAAUCCAACCUGAAUGCCAAGCACGUCCAAGGGUCCUCCUUCUUCUCUUUGUUGCGGCACAAGGUGUGGUUUGAUGGAUGAGUGGUAAAUUAUGAUGGUGGAUGGAUAUAGGUGAGUUAUGGUGAAGGGUGGAUGGGUGGAUUGUGUUCUCACCCAAGGAAUGAAAGUGUAAGUGUAUGAAGUUGUGAGAUGUGAAUGUAGUGUCUUUGGAUGGAUCUUUUCUCCUCCCAUGUUAU
This 509-nucleotide long non-coding RNA is filed under the name Malus domestica (apple). RNAcentral's name for it is "long non-coding RNA (MDOM_LNC010400)". The record is from RNAcentral. Lineage: Eukaryota; Viridiplantae; Streptophyta; Magnoliopsida; Rosales; Rosaceae.